Molecule: ribosomal RNA, 253 nt
Filed under: uncultured prokaryote
Description: partial 16S ribosomal RNA
Rfam family: Bacterial small subunit ribosomal RNA
Source: RNAcentral
UACGUAGGGUGCGAGCGUUAAUCGGAAUUACUGGGCGUAAAGCGUGCGCAGGCGGUUAUAUGAGACAGAUGUGAAAUCCCCGGGCUCAACCUGGGACCUGCAUUUGUGACUGUAUAGCUAGAGUACGGUAGAGGGGGAUGGAAUUCCGCGUGUAGCAGUGAAAUGCGUAGAUAUGCGGAGGAACACCGAUGGCGGAGGCAAUCCCCUGGACCUGUACUGACGCUCAUGCACGAAAGCGUGGGGAGCAAACAGG